RNAcentral lists this ribosomal RNA (478 nucleotides) under uncultured bacterium. Its description in RNAcentral is "partial 16S ribosomal RNA". It matches the Rfam family "Bacterial small subunit ribosomal RNA", at positions 28 to 523 of the family's 1533-position model. The record is from RNAcentral.
GACGAACGCUGGCGGCGUGCUUAACACAUGCAAGUCGAACGGUAAGGCCCUUCGGGGUACACGAGUGGCGAACGGGUGAGUAACACGUGGGUGAUCUGCCCUGCACUUCGGGAUAAGCCUGGGAAACUGGGUCUAAUACCGGAUAGGACCACUGCCUGCAUGGGUGGUGGGGGAAAGCUUUUGCGGUGUGGGAUGGGCCCGCGGCCUAUCAGCUUGUGGGUGGGGUGAUGGCCUACCAAGGCGACGACGGGUAGCCGGCCUGAGAGGGUGACCGGCCACACUGGGACUGAGAUACGGCCCAGACCCCUACGGGAGGCAGCAGUGGGGAAUAUUGCACAAUGGGCGCAAGCCUGAUGCAGCGACGCCGCGUGAGGGAUGACGGCCUUCGGGUUGUAAACCUCUUUCAGCACCGACGAAGCGCAAGUGACGGUAGGUGCAGAAGAAGGACCGGCCAACUACGUGCCAGCAGCCGCGGUAA